Molecule: ribosomal RNA, 343 nt
Filed under: Menticirrhus americanus (southern kingcroaker)
Lineage: Eukaryota; Metazoa; Chordata; Actinopteri; Sciaenidae
Description: partial 12S ribosomal RNA
Rfam family: Bacterial small subunit ribosomal RNA
Source: RNAcentral
GCUUAGUCGUAAACAUUGACAACGUUGUCCGCUGGGAAUUACGAGCGCCAGCUUAAAACCCAAAGGACUUGGCGGUGCUUUAGAUCCACCUAGAGGAGCCUGUUCUAGAACCGAUACCCCCCGUUCAACCUCACCCUUCCUUGCCCGCCUAUAUACCGCCGUCGUCAGCUUACCCUGUGAAGGACUUAUAGUAAGCAAAAUUGGCACAGCCCAAAACGCCAGGUCGAGGUGUAGCGUAUGGAAGGGGAAGAAAUGGGCUACAUUCUCUCGAGCACUGAAAGAAGGAGGAUUUAGCAGUAAGCAGGAAAUAGAGUGUCCUGCUGAAAUUGGCCCUGAAGCGCGC